AUGUGAAAUGAAGUGAGAGGUGUAGGUUUAUAACUAUGGUACGUAACAAAUUUAGAAAAAUAUUUUCAUAUUUUUAUCAUAGCCUCCUUAUGUGACGUGGAGAUGUGUCACCAGAUUUUAAGAUUUUCAGACUUUAUUUGUAAUUUAUAUAAUUAAAUUACAUUUCUCCCACAACUUUGUCGCCAUGUUUCGUGUAUAAGAUGUUCGAAAUUUUGGAUGUGCUCGUGAAACUGGCGUCAAAAUAUAACAACUAUCAUGAAUAUUAUUUUUCCGAUCAUUGAAUUCAAUGAUUCGAUGCACCUAUAGUUCAAUAUUAUAUUUUCAGAAAAAAUACGUUUAAGUGAAUAAAUUAAAGAAAUAUAUCAAGAAUUAUGCCAAAUUUUAACAUAUAUUUUAAAAUAAAGUGCAAGUCAGUAAAAAAAAGUUUGGAGGCAAAUAAAAAUAAUAAAAAAAUAUUUGCCGAGUGCCACCC
This 472-nucleotide long non-coding RNA is filed under the name Sorghum bicolor (sorghum). RNAcentral describes it as "long non-coding RNA (SBIC_LNC000165)". The record is from RNAcentral. Lineage: Eukaryota; Viridiplantae; Streptophyta; Magnoliopsida; Poales; Poaceae.